GGAGAGCUGUCCGAGCGGUCAAAGGAGCUUGAUUCGAAAUCAAGUGUACCGGGAACGGUACCAAGGGUUCGAAUCCCUUGCUCUCCUCCA
Molecule: transfer RNA, 90 nt
Filed under: Sandaracinaceae bacterium
Lineage: Bacteria; Pseudomonadati; Myxococcota; Polyangiales; Sandaracinaceae
Description: tRNA-Ser
Rfam family: tRNA
About the family: Transfer RNA (tRNA) molecules are approximately 80 nucleotides in length.
Source: RNAcentral